Molecule: unclassified non-coding RNA, 496 nt
Filed under: Byrsonima rigida
Lineage: Eukaryota; Viridiplantae; Streptophyta; Magnoliopsida; Malpighiales; Malpighiaceae
Description: partial contains external transcribed spacer and 18S ribosomal RNA
Rfam family: Eukaryotic small subunit ribosomal RNA (bases 437-496)
Source: RNAcentral
GGGCGUGUGAGUGGUGUUUGGUUUGCCGGGAUGGUAGGCUCCGUGCUAGCGCAUCGAACUAUCGGCCCGCUUUCCACUUCGCGGAUUCGGCUGCAUCGAAAUUAUGGCGUUCCUGUAUUCAAUACCCACGACGGCGGAAAUCAAUUGGUAGCGAUGAGUUUUUUCCGCUCGGCGCCCAUUCGUUGGGCGCGGGUGGACCACACGGCUCUGGCCCGUUUUUCCUAGCAAGCUCGUCGGGCUGCCAAGGAAAUUAUUGGGUCCGGGCUCGUGCUCUCGGAUGCGGAAGACCGUGAGGCCGGAGGGGAAUUCAUCCUUUCUAUAGGGCCGAUAAGAGAAUGUCCCUCGAUACGAACGACAACCUUCGACCGCAGCGUUUUCCGCUCGCUCCUACGGAGCUCGUGGGAACCGCGCGGCGCGGGUGUCGCGGAAGGAAUGCUACCUGGUUGAUCCUGCCAGUAGUCAUAUGCUUGUCUCAAAGAUUAAGCCAUGCAUGGGA